This 77-nucleotide transfer RNA is filed under the name Athalassotoga saccharophila. RNAcentral describes it as "tRNA-Arg". It matches the Rfam family "tRNA". From Rfam's summary of the family: Transfer RNA (tRNA) molecules are approximately 80 nucleotides in length. The record is from RNAcentral. RNAcentral also lists the same sequence under 4 other names. Lineage: Bacteria; Thermotogati; Thermotogota; Thermotogae; Mesoaciditogales; Mesoaciditogaceae.
GCGCCCAUAGCUCAAUUGGAUAGAGCAACGGACUUCUAAUCCGUAGGUUGCAGGUUCAAUUCCUGCUGGGCGCGCCA